Molecule: unclassified non-coding RNA, 347 nt
Filed under: soil metagenome
Description: partial contains 5.8S ribosomal RNA, internal transcribed spacer 2, and large subunit ribosomal RNA
Rfam family: 5.8S ribosomal RNA (bases 1-120)
Source: RNAcentral
GAUGAAGAACGCAGUGAAAUGCGAUAAUUAAUGUGAAUUGCAGAAUUCAGUGAAUCAUCGAGUCUUUGAACGCACAUUGCGCCCCCUGGUAUUCCGGGGGGCAUGCCUGUCCGAGCGUCAUUGCUGCCAUCAAGCACGGCUUGUGUGUUGGGCUUCCGUCCCUGGCAACGGGGACGGGCCCAAAAGGCAGUGGCGGCACCAUGUCUGGUCCUCGAGCGUAUGGGGCUUUGUCACCCGCUCCCGUAGGUCCAGCUGGCAGCUAGCCUCGCAACCAAUCUUUUUAACCAGGUUGACCUCGGAUCAGGUAGGGAUACCCGCUGAACUUAAGCAUAUCAAUAAGCGGAGGA